Molecule: long non-coding RNA, 419 nt
Organism: Corapipo altera (White-ruffed manakin)
Lineage: Eukaryota; Metazoa; Chordata; Aves; Passeriformes; Pipridae
Exons: 2
Source: RefSeq, a predicted model, not a curated record
AUCAAACCCACCUCUGGAACACCCCUCACCUCCUACCCCACAUCCCAAACCUUAACACGAUGGCCACACCAACUGCCACCGGCACCGAGCUCUCGACACCACACCCCGCGGCAGGACCUGCCCCAGCAAAGCCCGUGUUCUCCCGGCUCAGUCCCCCACGGUCGGUUACAGAGAUCUGUGUUAGAAAAACAGCCAGAGCGUUUGCACUGAGUUGUAGCCUCAGCCAAAAUCACUAAAUGAGCCCCCAUAUCGCUAAGUGCACCCUAAAAUCAUCAAGAUCUGAAGCAGCCAUCUGAGCCCAGAAAGCUGGAGACAUCUCAGCAGCAGCCAGAGCAGACUCGAUGCCACUCAAGGGGUGCCAUCACCCCGCUCACAGCCCCGUUUUUUGUAGGUUAAAGAGGAGCCGGGAGGCCACAGCA